GUGGGAUCUGGUGGGGUUUGGGGUCUGCAAUCUGAUGGGAUCUGGUGGGACCUGGUGGGAUCUGCUUCGAUCUUGUGGGGUUUGAUGGGGUCUGGUGGGGGCUGGUGGGAUUUGGGGUCUGCAAUCUGAUGGGAUCUGGUGGGAUCUGGUCAGAUCUGGCUGGAUCUGGUGGGGUUUGAUGGGGUCUGGUGGGGGCUGGUGGGAUUUGGGGUCUGGGAUCUGAUGGGGCCUGGUGGGAUCUGCUUGGAUCUCACAGGGUUUGAUGGGAUCUGAUGGGAUCUGGUGGGGUUUGGGGACUGCAAUCUGGUGGGGUCUGGUGGGAUCCAGGGCCAUGAUCAGAUUGGAUCUGGUGGGAUCUGGUGGGAUUUGGGACUGCGAUCUGAUGGGGUCCGGUGGGAUCUGGGGCCAUGAUUGGAUGGGAUCUGGUGGGGUCUGGUGGGGUUUGAUGAAAUUUGAUGGGAUCUGCUUGGAUCUCGUGGGCUUUGAUGGGGUCUGGUAGGGUUUGGAACUAGAAUCUGAUGAGAUCCAGUGGGAUCUGGUGAUGUUUGGAACCAGGAUCUGAUGGGAUCUGGUGGGAUCUGGCUGGACCUGGUGGGGUUUGAUGGGAUCUGGUGGGGGCUGGUGGGGUCUGGAAUCUGGUGGGAUCUGGUUGGAUCUGGCUGGAUGUGGUGGGGUUUGGUGGGAUCCGCUUGGAUCUCGUGGGCUUUGAUGGGAUCUGAUGGGAUCUGAUGGGAUCUGAUGGGAUCUGAUGGGGACUGGUGGGAUCUGCUUGGAUCUCGUGGAGUUUGAUGGAAUCUGAUGGGGGCUGGUGGGAUUUGGGGCCUGGAAUCUGGUGGGAUCUGGUGGGAUUUCAUUUGGUCUGGUGGGAUCUGGUGGGGUUUGGGGUCUGGAAUCUGGUGGGGUCCGGUGGGAUCUGGGGCCAUGAUUGGAUCAGAUCUGAUGGGGUCUGGUGGGCUUUGGUGGGAUCUGCUUGGAUCUCGUGGGGUUUGGUGGGAUCUGGUGGGAUCUGGUGGGGUUUGGUGAGAUUUGGGGUCUGGAAUCUGGUGGGAUCUGGUGGGAUCUGGGGCCAUGAUUGGAUGGGAUCUGGUGGGGUCUGAUGGGGUCUGGUGGGAUUUGGGGACUGGGAUCUGAUGAGAUCCAGUGGGAUCUGAUGAUGUUUGGAACCAGGAUCUGAUGGGAUCUGGUGGGGUCUGGUGGGGUUUGGUGGGACCUGCUUGGAUCUUGUGGGGUUUGAUGGGAUCUGAUGGGAUCUGGUGGGGUCUGGGGACUGCAAUCUGGUGGGGUGUGGUGGGGUUUGAUGGGACCUGGUGGGAUUUCAUUGGGUCUGGUGGGAUCUGAUGGAAUCUGAUGGGAUCUGGUGGGGUUUGGUGGGACCUGGUGGGGUCUGGUGGGGUUUCAUUGGAAUCUGGUGGGGCUUCAUUGGCUCUGGUGGGAUCUGGUGGGGUUUGAUGGGCUCUGAUGGGACCUGGUGGGGUUUCAUUGGCUCUGGUGGGAUCUCGUGGGGUUUGAUGGGGUCUGAUGGGACCUGGUGGGAUUUCAUUGGGUCUGGUGGGAUCUGGUGGGGUUUGAUGGGAUCUGGUGGGGUUUGGGACCACGAUUGGAUCGGAUCUGCUGGGGUCUGAUGGGAUUUGGGCUCUGGAAUCCGAUUGGAUCUGGAGAAUUUCGGGGAAUCCUGAAAGGAUUUUUGUGCAUCCCCCCCCGCCCCAUUGGGAACCCCGGUGGGGGCGUGGCUUGAAUGCAAAUGAC
Molecule: long non-coding RNA, 1746 nt
Organism: Zonotrichia albicollis (white-throated sparrow)
Lineage: Eukaryota; Metazoa; Chordata; Aves; Passeriformes; Passerellidae
Source: Ensembl